Molecule: unclassified non-coding RNA, 353 nt
Filed under: soil metagenome
Description: partial contains 5.8S ribosomal RNA, internal transcribed spacer 2, and large subunit ribosomal RNA
Rfam family: 5.8S ribosomal RNA (bases 1-120)
Source: RNAcentral
GAUGAAGAACGUAGUGAAACGCGAUAUGUAAUGUGAAUUGCAGAAUUCAGUGAAUCAUCGAAUCUUUGAACGCACAUGGCGCCUUCCAGUAUCCUGGGAGGCAUGCCUGUCCGAGCGUCGUUUCAACCCUCGAGCCCCCGUGGCCGGGCGUUGGGGAUCUGCCCAGGCAGUCCCCGAAAACCAGUGGCGGACCCGUUACAGGCCCUUCCCUUGCGUAGUAGCAUUCGCCUCGCAUCGGGAGCCGGCGGGCUUCCAGCCUCUAAACCCCCAUCAAGUCCGCCCCGGCGGCACCAAGGUUGACCUCGGAUCAGGUAGGAAUACCCGCUGAACUUAAGCAUAUCAAAAGCGGAGGA